RNAcentral lists this long non-coding RNA (860 nucleotides) under Macaca mulatta (Rhesus monkey). RNAcentral's name for it is "lncRNA (ENSMMUG00000059754.1)". The record is from RNAcentral. Lineage: Eukaryota; Metazoa; Chordata; Mammalia; Primates; Cercopithecidae.
CUCCCGCCAGUGCUCCGGGCUCGCGGUCUGGAGGAAGUCGCACGGUCGCCCUCAGCCCUUUCGCUGUGUUCCACUGGGGAAGCCGCCAUGACUGAGCGGAAAACGUUAGUUUCCGGACGCCAAGACUUGCGCGCUCCGGCCGCGCGCUUUUCUACCUAGGAAUUGGUGACGAGGGCCGAGGGCUGCCGUGCUGGGGGAGGGUGCUCAGAGGCUGGGGUGCCGGGGUUCCCCUCCCUUGCAGCUCCAGGCUUCGCGCAGUCCCGGGCCAGUCGAAAGGGACAGCAGAGGGCGAGAUCCUUUUCCCAUCCCUUUCAGUGGAAACCGAUUACACGGGGAAGCCUUCUCGCUGUGCGGUGAGUGGAUAGCUGGGCGCGCAGUGUGGCAGUGGCGGCGAAGAUUGGCGCUAUCAGGAGGAGCAAAAGGGAAGGAUCUGCUGCUGGGGGCUCCCUGGGUGACCCUUUGCUAGGCGAAAAGAACCCGUCGAGAGAGAAGCGCUUGGCAGGAGCUCUCUGCGGGACAUAAGCUCCCUGGCUGCUCGGGAUCCCUACGUCCGCUGCUGCGGAAGGAACACAGGGGAGGACGCAAGCGGUUGCUUACUGGAGCCUGGAGGUAAGCAAGGGGGUGGGAUCCUGAUUCUCAGCCCAGAUUCCAAAAGGGUGUCUGAUUUCAUGGAAACAUUCUUCUCACCCUCAUUUAUCAUCGCACACCCCACCCCCGCUUUUCAGAUCCAGGUUCAGGAAUAACCAAAUCCUUGGCACCCUCACAAGGUGGAAGUACCUUUCACAGCUCAUCGCCUGAAUGCCUUGCUCCUUACAUAUAUAUGUUUGUGUUGGGGGAAUGUGAGCUUCUCAGGGAAGUUG